Molecule: ribosomal RNA, 499 nt
Filed under: Parazoanthus elongatus
Lineage: Eukaryota; Metazoa; Cnidaria; Anthozoa; Zoantharia; Parazoanthidae
Description: partial 16S ribosomal RNA
Rfam family: Bacterial large subunit ribosomal RNA
Source: RNAcentral
GAAGGCCCCACUGUCUUAAGGAAAUUCCCAGUGAAAUUGAAUUCGUAGUGAAGAUGCUACGUCCAAUUUGUUAGACGAAAAGACCCCGUUGAGCUUUACUGGGGCACUUACACGGCCCCGGCCUUCAAGACUGGGUUGAUAAGCCAAGGCUUACCAUACCUAGGGACCGGCCGAAUUUAAAUGGGCGGUUUAGACUAUGUGGCAGCCCCCCCCGUCGGGGCAGAUGAAACCCCACUCCCCCAUGUCAAAGGGGCUAACCCCCCCCCUUGGGGGGGACAGUGUAAGUAGGACAGUUUGGUUGGGGCGACCGCCUUUUAGAGAGUAACGAAGGUGCGCUUAAGGUGCGUAAUUAAUGACUGAAGCCUGACUGCGAGGGGGACACCCCGAGCAGACACCCCCAAGCCCGCCCUCUGGGAGGGCGGCGGUGGGGUGGGCCAUAGUGACCCGUUAAUUUAGAGUGGAAUAGUUAACGAUCAACGAAUAAAAGUUACCACGGGGA